AACGAACGCUGGCGGCAGGCUUAACACAUGCAAGUCGAGCGAGACCUUCGGGUCUAGCGGCGGACGGGUGAGUAACGCGUGGGAACGUGCCCUUCUCUACGGAAUAGCCCCGGGAAACUGGGAGUAAUACCGUAUACGCCCUUUGGGGGAAAGAUUUAUCGGAGCAGGAUCGGCCCGCGUUGGAUUAGGUAGUUGGUGGGGUAAUGGCCCACCAAGCCGACGAUCCAUAGCUGGUUUGAGAGGAUGAUCAGCCACACUGGGACUGAGACACGGCCCAGACUCCUACGGGAGGCAGCAGUGGGGAAUCUUAGACAAUGGGGGCAACCCUGAUCUAGCCAUGCCGCGUGAGUGAUGAAGGCCUUAGGGUUGUAAAGCUCUUUCAGCUGGGAAGAUAAUGACGGUACCAGCAGAAGAAGCCCCGGCUAACUCCGUG
RNAcentral lists this ribosomal RNA (433 nucleotides) under uncultured bacterium. Its description in RNAcentral is "partial 16S ribosomal RNA". It matches the Rfam family "Bacterial small subunit ribosomal RNA", at positions 29 to 507 of the family's 1533-position model. The record is from RNAcentral.